AUUGAACGCUGGCGGCAUGCUUUACACAUGCAAGUCGAGCGGCAGCGCGGGGGCAACCCUGGCGGCGAGCGGCGAACGGGUGAGUAAUGCAUCGGAACGUGUCCCGUGGUGGGGGAUAACCCGGCGAAAGCCGGGCUAAUACCGCAUAUGCUCUGAGGAGGAAAGUGGGGACCCGCAAGGGCCUCACGCCAUGGGAGCGGCCGAUGUCCGAUUAGCUUGGUUGGUGGGGUAAGGCUUACCAAGGCGACGAUCGGUAGCUGGUCUGAGAGGAUGAUCAGCCACACUGGGACUGAGACACGGCCCAGACUCCUACGGAGGCAGCAGUGGGGAAUUUUGGACAAUGGGGGCAACCCUGAUCCAGCCAUGCCGCGUGC
This 374-nucleotide ribosomal RNA is filed under the name uncultured bacterium. RNAcentral describes it as "bacterial SSU rRNA". It matches the Rfam family "Bacterial small subunit ribosomal RNA", at positions 28 to 404 of the family's 1533-position model. The record is from RNAcentral.